AACGCGAAGAACCUUACCUACCCUUGACAUGUACGGAAGUCCGAAGAGAUUUGGAUGUGCUCGAAAGAGAACCGUAACACAGGUGCUGCAUGGCUGUCGUCAGCUCGUGUCGUGAGAUGUUGGGUUAAGUCCCGCAACGAGCGCAACCCUUGUCAUUAGUUGCUACGAAAGGGCACUCUAAUGAGACUGCCGGUGACAAACCGGAGGAAGGUGGGGAUGACGUCAAGUCCUCAUGGCCCUUAUGGGUAGGGCUUCACACGUCAUACAAUGGUACAUACAGAGGGCCGCCAACCCGCGAGGGGGAGCUAAUCCCAGAAAGUGUAUCGUAGUCCGGAUUGUAGUCUGCAACUCGACUACAUGAAGUUGGAAUCGCUAGUAAUCGCGGAUCAGCAUGUCGCGGUGAAUACGUUCCCGGGUCUUGUACACACCG
RNAcentral lists this ribosomal RNA (430 nucleotides) under uncultured soil bacterium. Its description in RNAcentral is "bacterial SSU rRNA". It matches the Rfam family "Bacterial small subunit ribosomal RNA", at positions 958 to 1392 of the family's 1533-position model. The record is from RNAcentral.